Small nucleolar RNA from Onychomys torridus (southern grasshopper mouse), 70 nucleotides. RefSeq annotates it as small nucleolar RNA SNORA51. The record is from RefSeq and is a predicted model, not a curated record. Lineage: Eukaryota; Metazoa; Chordata; Mammalia; Rodentia; Cricetidae. The transcript has a single exon.
GGCCUCCUUGUGGUUACCACAGGCUAUGUUCUUACACUGUAUAGAAAGAGGAGGCAGAAAGAGGAGAUGU